GAGGAACGCUGGCGGCGUGCCUAAUACAGGCAAGUCGAGCGAACGGACGAGAAGCUUGCUUCUCUGAUGUUAGCGGCGGACGGGUGAGUAACACGUGGAUAACCUACCUAUAAGACUGGGAUAACUUCGGGAAACCGGAGCUAAUACCGGAUAAUAUUUUGAACCGCAUGGUUCAAAAGUGAAAGACGGUCUUGCUGUCACUUAUAGAUGGAUCCGCGCUGCAUUAGCUAGUUGGUAAGGUAACGGCUUACCAAGGCAACGAUGCAUAGCCGACCUGAGAGGGUGAUCGGCCACACUGGAACUGAGACACGGUCCAGACUCCUACGGGAGGCAGCAGUAGGGAAUCUUCCGCAAUGGGCGAAAGCCUGACGGAGCAACGCCGCGUGAGUGAUGAAGGUCUUCGGAUCGUAAAACUCUGUUAUUAGGGAAGAACAUAUGUGUAAGUAACUGUGCACAUCUUGACGGUACCUAAUCAGAAAGCCACGGCUAACUACGUG
RNAcentral lists this ribosomal RNA (497 nucleotides) under uncultured bacterium. RNAcentral's name for it is "partial 16S ribosomal RNA". It matches the Rfam family "Bacterial small subunit ribosomal RNA", at positions 28 to 507 of the family's 1533-position model. The record is from RNAcentral.